This 246-nucleotide ribosomal RNA is filed under the name uncultured bacterium. RNAcentral describes it as "partial small subunit ribosomal RNA". It matches the Rfam family "Bacterial small subunit ribosomal RNA", at positions 26 to 286 of the family's 1533-position model. The record is from RNAcentral.
AGAAUCAACGCUGGCGGCGUGCCUAACACAUGCAAGUCGAACGAGAAAGUGGAGCAAUCCAUGAGUAAAGUGGCGCACGGGUGAGUAACACGUGACUAACCUACCCUUGAGUGGGGGAUAACCUAGGGAAACCUGGGCUAAUACCGCAUAAUACCUUCGGGUCAAAGGAGCAAUUCGCUUAAGGAGGGGGUCGCGGCCGAUUAGUUAGUUGGCGGGGUAAUGGCCCACCAAGACUAUGAUCGGUAU